CCUUUGUACACACCGCCCGUCGCUACUACCGAUUGAAUGGCUCGGUGAGGCCUUCGGACUGGCCCAGGGAGGUCGGCAACGACCACCCAGGGCCGGAAAGUUGGUCAAACCCGGUCAUUUAGAGGAAGUAAAAGUCGUAACAAGGUCUCCGUAGGUGAACCUGCGGAGGGAUCAUUA
Molecule: ribosomal RNA, 177 nt
Filed under: Cladosporium perangustum
Lineage: Eukaryota; Fungi; Ascomycota; Dothideomycetes; Cladosporiales; Cladosporiaceae
Also listed under: 1 other name
Description: partial 18S ribosomal RNA
Rfam family: Eukaryotic small subunit ribosomal RNA
Source: RNAcentral